This 270-nucleotide unclassified non-coding RNA is filed under the name Hevea brasiliensis (rubber tree). Lineage: Eukaryota; Viridiplantae; Streptophyta; Magnoliopsida; Malpighiales; Euphorbiaceae. The record is from RNAcentral.
GAAAUUUCCUGAGAUUAAUCUGUUUGCAUCAGAAAGUGAUAAUCCAGGGAAAGAAAAGUGAAGUGAAAUUUUAGAAUCUAUUCCAAUCCAAAAAGACUAGUACUUGUUGAAAACUCAAAUUUGCAGUCUUACAGAAAGGAAACAGUUUUCUCACAGAAGCAGGAUGGAAAUUAGAAACCCAAAAAAAGAAGACAAAAUCUUGAAAAGAAUCUUGAGCUAUUUCCUCUGCUUGUUUCCUAACUGCUUAAUCCUCCAAUCUCCCAUUCUUUU